GUGCAGCAGUCGCGAAUCUUCCGCAAUGGGCGAAAGCCUGACGGAGCGACGCCGCGUGCUUGAAGAAGCCCUUCGGGGUGUAAAAGCUUUUCUACCUGAGAAACCUUCGGGUGGUGUUAGGGUAGGAAUAAGGGGAGGCUAAUCACGUGCCGAGAAGCCUCGGGUAAUACGUGAUCCCCAAGCGUUAUCCGGAUUUAUUGGGGCGUAAAGGGUUCGUAGGCGGUUUGUAAAG
RNAcentral lists this ribosomal RNA (232 nucleotides) under uncultured microorganism. RNAcentral describes it as "partial 16S ribosomal RNA". It matches the Rfam family "Bacterial small subunit ribosomal RNA", at positions 346 to 587 of the family's 1533-position model. The record is from RNAcentral.